Molecule: ribosomal RNA, 419 nt
Filed under: uncultured bacterium
Lineage: Bacteria
Description: bacterial SSU rRNA
Rfam family: Bacterial small subunit ribosomal RNA
Source: RNAcentral
UGGGGAAUAUUGGGCAAUGGGCGAAAGCCUUACCCAGCAACGCCGCGUGAGGGAAGAAGGUUUUCGGAUUGUAAACCUCUGUCCUGGGGGACGAAGGAAGUGACGGCUACCCCGGGAGGAACGCCCCGGCUAACUACGUGCCAGCAGCCGCGGUAAUACGUAGGGGGCGAGCGUUGUCCGGAAUUAUUGGGCGUAAAGGGCGCGUAGACGGCCGAGUAAGUUAUAGGUGAAAGCCCAUCUUUCAAGGAUGGAAUUGCCUGUAAUACUGCCUGGCUUGAGUGCAGGAGAGGGAAGCGGAAUUCCUAGUGUAGCGGUGAAAUGCGUAGAUAUUAGGAGGAACACCAGUGGCGAAGGCGGCUUUCUGGACUGUAACUGACGUUGAGGCGCGAAAGCGUGGGGAGCAAACAGGAUUAGAUACC